UGGGGAAUAUUGGACAAUGGGCGCAAGCCUGAUCCAGCCAUGCCGCGUGAGUGAUGAAGGCCUUAGGGUUGUAAAGCUCUUUCGCCGACGAAGAUAAUGACGGUAGUCGGAGAAGAAGCCCCGGCUAACUUCGUGCCAGCAGCCGCGGUAAUACGAAGGGGGCUAGCGUUGUUCGGAAUCACUGGGCGUAAAGCGCACGUAGGCGGAUUGUUAAGUCAGGGGUGAAAGCCUGGAGCUCAACUCCAGAACUGCCCUUGAUACUGGCAAUCUCGAGUCCGGAAGAGGUAAGUGGAACUGCGAGUGUAGAGGUGAAAUUCGUAGAUAUUCGCAAGAACACCAGUGGCGAAGGCGGCUUACUGGUCCGGUACUGACGCUGAGGUGCGAAAGCGUGGGGGAGCAAAACAGGAUUAGAUACCCUGGUAGUCCACGCCGUAAACGAUGGAGGCUAGCCGUUGGCGAGCAUGCUCGUCAGUGGCGCAGCUAACGCAUUAAGCCUCCCGCCUGGGGAGUACGGUCGCAAGAUU
Molecule: ribosomal RNA, 524 nt
Filed under: uncultured bacterium
Lineage: Bacteria
Description: partial 16S ribosomal RNA
Rfam family: Bacterial small subunit ribosomal RNA
Source: RNAcentral